ACUUAAGGACCACAGGCCCAUUAUUUGAUUUGCACUCAAAUAUCUUCUUUAAGCCCU
RNAcentral lists this transfer RNA (57 nucleotides) under Diporiphora nobbi (nobbi lashtail). RNAcentral's name for it is "tRNA-Cys". Lineage: Eukaryota; Metazoa; Chordata; Lepidosauria; Squamata; Agamidae. The record is from RNAcentral.